UUUUAAUUACUAUAAAAAUACAUACAUGUAUUAAUAUCCCAAUUGAUGCAAAACUUGUACCAACAUCAAAAUAUAAACUUAUCAAAUAUAUUUGUCUUAAAAUAUACAUACUAGUACAAAAUUCAACAUAGACCACUUUGGUAUCCACCUAUUGCUGAUUUACUUUUAUUCAUGGGAUACAAAAAUUCAUAUGUUUUAUGCCAGAAGAUGAGAUAUGAAGUUAAGUGGUCAAUACAUUUCAAAUUUUCUAUGAGCUUGUAUGCAAAUUUUUGCACAACCACAAAAAUCAUGUAUCAAAAAAAAAAUCCAGUUUUCUUGAAACCAGUAAAA
This 330-nucleotide long non-coding RNA is filed under the name Mytilus galloprovincialis (Mediterranean mussel). The record is from RNAcentral. Lineage: Eukaryota; Metazoa; Mollusca; Bivalvia; Mytilida; Mytilidae.